GUUGUUACCAAUAGCUUUUUAUACAUCUACCGACUUCGAAUCCGUAGGCCGGGGGUUCGAAUCCCUCCGGGCGUACCA
Molecule: transfer RNA, 78 nt
Filed under: Desulfonema limicola
Lineage: Bacteria; Pseudomonadati; Thermodesulfobacteriota; Desulfobacteria; Desulfobacterales; Desulfococcaceae
Description: tRNA-Arg
Source: RNAcentral